This 445-nucleotide ribosomal RNA is filed under the name uncultured bacterium. RNAcentral's name for it is "partial 16S ribosomal RNA". It matches the Rfam family "Bacterial small subunit ribosomal RNA", at positions 354 to 796 of the family's 1533-position model. The record is from RNAcentral.
GUGAGGAAUAUUGGACAAUGGGCGCAAGCCUGAUCCAGCCAUGCCGCGUGCAGGAAGACGCAUCUAUGGUGUGUAAACUGCUUUUGUACGGGAAGAAACACUCCCUCGUGAGGGAGCUUGACGGUACCGUAAGAAUAAGGAUCGGCUAACUCCGUGCCAGCAGCCGCGGUAAUACGGAGGAUCCAAGCGUUAUCCGGAAUCAUUGGGUUUAAAGGGUCCGUAGGCGGUUUAAUAAGUCAGUGGUGAAAGCCCAUCGCUCAACGAUGGAACGGCCAUUGAUACUGUUAGACUCGAAUUACAAGGAAGUAACUAGAAUAUGUAGUGUAGCGGUGAAAUGCUUAGAUAUUACAUGGAAUACCAAUUGCGAAGGCAGGUUACUACUUGUGGAUUGACGCUGAUGGACGAAAGCGUGGGGAGCGAACAGGAUUAGAUACCCGGGUAGUCC